CAGAGGGGGAUAACGUUUGGAAACGAACGCUAAUACCGCAUGAUAUUAUUGAGCUGCAUGGCUUGAUAAUCAAAGGAGCAAUCCGCUGAAAGAUGGGCUCGCGUCCGAUUAGGUAGUUGGCGGGGCAACGGCCCACCAAGCCGACGAUCGGUAGCCGGACUGAGAGGUUGAACGGCCACAUUGGGACUGAGACACGGCCCAGACUCCUACGGGAGGCAGCAGUGAGGGAUAUUGGUCAAUGGGGGAAACCCUGAACCAGCAACGCCGCGUGAGGGAAGACGGUUUUCGGAUUGUAGACCUCUGUCCUCUGUGAAGAUGAUGACGGUAGCAGAGGAGGAAGCUCCGGCUAACUACGUGCCAGCAGCCGCGGUAAUACGUAGGGAGCAAGCGUUGUCCGGAUUUACUGGGUGUAAAGGGUGCGUAGGCGGCUUUGCAAGUCAGAAGUGAAAUCCAUGGGCUUAACCCAUGAACUGCUUUUGAAACUGCAGAGCUUGAGUGGAGUAGAGGUAGGCGGAAUUCCCGGUGUAGCGGUGAAAUGCGUAGAGAUCGGGAGGAACACCAGUGGCGAAGGCGGCCUGCUGGGCUCUAACUGACGCUGAGGCACGAAAGCGUGGGUAGCAAACAGGAUUAGAUACCCUGGUAGUCCACGCUGUAAACGAUGAAUACUAGGUGUGGGUGGACUGACCCCAUCCGUGCCGGAGU
RNAcentral lists this ribosomal RNA (702 nucleotides) under uncultured bacterium. RNAcentral describes it as "bacterial SSU rRNA". It matches the Rfam family "Bacterial small subunit ribosomal RNA", at positions 134 to 852 of the family's 1533-position model. The record is from RNAcentral.